Molecule: ribosomal RNA, 510 nt
Filed under: uncultured cyanobacterium
Lineage: Bacteria; Bacillati; Cyanobacteriota
Description: bacterial SSU rRNA
Rfam family: Bacterial small subunit ribosomal RNA
Source: RNAcentral
CUUCGGGUUAGUGGCGGACGGGUGAGUAACGCGUGAGAAUCUGCCCUCAGGAGGGGGAUAACGGCUGGAAACGGCCGCUAAUACCCCAUAUGCCGAGAGGUGAAAUGAAUUUCGCCUGAGGAUGAGCUCGCGUCUGAUUAGCUAGUUGGUGUGGUAAAGGCUCACCAAGGCUUCGAUCAGUAGCUGGUCUGAGAGGAUGAUCAGCCACACUGGGACUGAGACACGGCCCAGACUCCUACGGGAGGCAGCAGUGGGGAAUUUUCCGCAAUGGGCGCAAGCCUGACGGAGCAACGCCGCGUGAGGGAUGAAGGCCUCUGGGCUGUAAACCUCUUUUAUCAAGGAAGAAGAUCUGACGGUACUUGAUGAAUAAGCCACGGCUAAUUCCGUGCCAGCAGCCGCGGUAAUACGGGAGUGGCAAGCGUUAUCCGGAAUUAUUGGGCGUAAAGCGUCCGCAGGCGGUUUUACAAGUCUGUCGUUAAAACGUGGAGCUCAACUCCAUUUCGGCGAUGG